GAGGUUCUAGCUUAAUUAAAGCUUCUGGCUUGCAUUCAGAAGAUGCAGGGUAAUAUCUUGCGAACCUUA
RNAcentral lists this transfer RNA (69 nucleotides) under Cinclus mexicanus. RNAcentral's name for it is "tRNA-Ala". It matches the Rfam family "tRNA". Rfam says of the family: Transfer RNA (tRNA) molecules are approximately 80 nucleotides in length. Lineage: Eukaryota; Metazoa; Chordata; Aves; Passeriformes; Cinclidae. The record is from RNAcentral.